GCAUCUUCAACGUCUGGAAAGAAUUUCGGUCUGGGAUCGGCUCGCGGCCUAUCAGCUAGUUGGUGAGGUAACGGCUCACCAAGGCGUCGACGGGUAGCCGGCCUGAGAGGGUGACCGGCCACACUGGGACUGAGACACGGCCCAGACUCCUACGGGAGGCAGCAGUGGGGAAUAUUGCACAAUGGGCGAAAGCCUGAUGCAGCAACGCCGCGUGAGGGACGACGGCCUUCGGGUUGUAAACCUCUUUUAGCAGGGAAGAAGCGAAAGUGACGGUACCUGCAGAAAAAGCACCGGCUAACUACGUGCCAGCAGCCGCGGUAAUACGUAGGGUGCAAGCGUUAUCCGGAAUUAUUGGGCGUAAAGAGCUCGUAGGCGGUUUGUCGCGUCUGCUGUGAAAACCCGAGGCUCAACCUCGGGCCUGCAGUGGGUACGGGCAGACUAGAGUGCGGUAGGGGAGAUUGGAACUCCUGGUGUAGCGGUGGAAUGCGCAGAUAUCAGGAAGAACACCGAUGGCGAAGGCAGAUCUCUGGGCCGUAACUGACGCUGAGGAGCGAAAGGGUGGGGAGCAAACAGGCUUAGAUACCCUGGUAGUCCACCCCGUAAACGUUGGGAACUAGUUGUGGGGUCCAUUCCACGGAUUCCGUGACGCAGCU
RNAcentral lists this ribosomal RNA (653 nucleotides) under Microbacterium sp. RNAcentral's name for it is "bacterial SSU rRNA". It matches the Rfam family "Bacterial small subunit ribosomal RNA", at positions 186 to 853 of the family's 1533-position model. The record is from RNAcentral. Lineage: Bacteria; Bacillati; Actinomycetota; Actinomycetes; Micrococcales; Microbacteriaceae.